CCUACGGGAGGCAGCAGUGGGGAAUAUUGGGCACUGGGCGCAAGCCUGACCCAGCAACGCCGCGUGAAGGAAGAAGGCUUUCGGGUUGUAACCUUCUUUUCUGAGGGACGAAGAAAGUGACGGUACCUCAGGAAUAUUACACGUCUAACUCCGUACCAGCAGCCGCGGUAAUACGUAGGUGGCAAGCGUUAUCCGGAUUUAUUGGGUGUAAAGGGCGUGUAGGCGGGAAAGCAAGUCAGAUGUGAAAACUCAGGGCUCAACCCUGAGCCUGCAUUUGAAACUGUUUUUCUUGAGUGCUGGAGAGGCAAGCGGAAUUCCGGGUGUAGCGGUGAAAUGCGUAGAUAUACGGAGGAACACCAGUGGCGAAGGCGGAUUGCUGGACAGUAACUGACGCUGAGGCGCGAAAGCGUGGGGAGCAAACAGGAGUAGAUACCCCUGUAGUC
This 443-nucleotide ribosomal RNA is filed under the name uncultured bacterium. RNAcentral describes it as "partial 16S ribosomal RNA". It matches the Rfam family "Bacterial small subunit ribosomal RNA", at positions 338 to 795 of the family's 1533-position model. The record is from RNAcentral.